RNAcentral lists this ribosomal RNA (589 nucleotides) under uncultured fungus. Its description in RNAcentral is "eukaryotic LSU rRNA". The stretch from base 225 to 378 matches the Rfam family "5.8S ribosomal RNA". The record is from RNAcentral. Lineage: Eukaryota; Fungi.
CUUGGUCAUUUAGAGGAAGUAAAAGUCGUAACAAGGUCUCCGUAGGUGAACCUGCGGAGGGAUCAUUACAAGUGACCCCGGUCUAACCACCGGGAUGUUCAUAACCCUUUGUUGUCCGACUCUGUUGCCUCCGGGGCGACCCUGCCUUCGGGCGGGGGCUCCGGGUGGACACUUCAAACUCUUGCGUAACUUUGCAGUCUGAGUAAACUUAAUUAAUAAAUUAAAACUUUUAACAACGGAUCUCUUGGUUCUGGUAUCGAUGAAGAACGCAGCGAAAUGCGAUAACUAAUGUGAAUUGCAGAAUUCAGUGAAUCAUCGAAUCUUUGAACGCACAUUGCGCCCCCUGGUAUUCCGGGGGGCAUGCCUGUUCGAGCGUCAUUUCACCACUCAAGCCUCGCUUGGUAUUGGGCAACGCGGUCCGCCGCGUGCCUCAAAUCGACCGGCUGGGUCUUCUGUCCCCUAAGCGUUGUGGAAACUAUUCGCUAAAGGGUGCUCGGGAGGCUACGCCGUAAAACAAACCCAUUUCUAAGGUUGACCUCGGAUCAGGUAGGGAUACCCGCUGAACUUAAGCAUAUCAAUAAGCGGAGGA